UACAGAGGUCUCAAGCGUUGUUCGGAAUCAUUGGGCGUAAAGGGUGCGUAGGUGGCGCCGUAAGUCAGGUGUGAAAUUUCGGAGCUUAACUCCGAAACUGCAUUUGAUACUGCGGUGCUUGAGGACUGGAGAGGAGACUGGAAUUCACGGUGUAGCAGUGAAAUGCGUAGAUAUCGUGAGGAAGACCAGUGGCGAAGGCGGGUCUCUGGACAGUUCCUGACACUGAGGCACGAAG
Molecule: ribosomal RNA, 235 nt
Filed under: uncultured bacterium
Lineage: Bacteria
Description: partial 16S ribosomal RNA
Rfam family: Bacterial small subunit ribosomal RNA
Source: RNAcentral